GGGCGUAUGUGAUAAUUGGUUAGUCGGCUAGUCUUGAAAACUAGUGGGUGUAACAGCCUUAAGAGUUCGAGUCUCUUUGCGCCCG
Molecule: transfer RNA, 85 nt
Filed under: Butyrivibrio sp.
Lineage: Bacteria; Bacillati; Bacillota; Clostridia; Lachnospirales; Lachnospiraceae
Description: tRNA-Ser
Rfam family: tRNA
About the family: Transfer RNA (tRNA) molecules are approximately 80 nucleotides in length. Their secondary structure includes four short double-helical elements and three loops (D, anti-codon, and T loops).
Source: RNAcentral